UUCGGUUUUUUUUUUUUUUUCCUCCAAAAAAUGCAAAACAGCCACAACAAAUCCAGGCUUCAGCAGCAGCAUACCCAAAACAAAUUAAUCAAACCGUAUGUACUCUCACAAAUUAAUCAAACCUCAACUAAUAGUCUAAUAGUGUUCAUAAAUGAAGUUACCUAACCAAAUCCAGCAUACCCAAAACAAAUUGCAAAACCAUGAAAUUUAGAAGCUACAUAUCAAAUUCAUCAGAAGUUCAGAACCAACAAAAUUGAAAAAAAAAAUCUGCAAACGAAAAUUAACCAACAACACAACACAAAAACAAAACCAAAUUAAAAUCAACCAAACGAAAAAAAUAAACACAACCAAACGAAAAAAAUAAAACACAACCAAAUUUAAAUCAACCAAAUUAAACACAACCAAACCAAAAAAAUAAAUCUUUUUUUUUAAAUUAAUAGUUAAAAUAAGGAAGAGAUUGAACCGAUUCGAACUCCCUCUGCCAUCCUCCUCUCUGCUUCCGAUUCGAAAGGGGGCGAGGGAAAAUUAUGAUUUGGAUGAAGUACUUUUUAAGAAGCUAUAUUAAAUCCCAACUCAGAUUGCAUUAUCUCAGCAAGUAAACAAACUUAAAGUGAAUCAGCAAUACUAAAAAUACGAAUAGAAGAUAAUGAGAUACCGGAACACCAAAAUAUAUAAGCUCAAAACUUAUCCAUUCAACAGACGCAACAAAACUUAAAAAGUAAAUACUCUCAACAAAACUUGAAAAAUUAUCCAUGGAUCUGCAACGAUUAAUGACUGCCCUCGUCCGCCGUCAACUGCCCAUCAGUCCCAUGUUGUGCCACUGGACUGCUCCACUGCCACUGUGGUUUGGCUCUCCUCUUUGCUACCGUCGAAAUCCACAAAGAGAGAUAGUGAUUUGGAGGAAGAGAGGAAGGGGAGAGGAAGAGAGGAAGGGGAGAGAAAGAGAGAGAGAGAGAGGCAGAGAGGAAAUAGCGGAGGGGAGAGAGUGCUUGAGAAAAGGGAAAACCGAAAUGGGAUUGGGAGAGUGACGGCUAGGGUUUUUAAUCUUAAGAAAUUUUAUAAAGCAUUAAAUAUUAGAAACCUAUAAAUAUAUUACUGGUACAAUUAUAACAACACAAAGCCUACAGUCAAGUUGGCUUGAAGGAAUUAUCCCCCCUGGACGGAAGGGGUUCGAUUCCUCACAGCAGCAGGUUUUAAGUAUUUAUAUUUAAUUUUAAGUUAAAAGGUUGUUGAUUGCUCAAAAAAAACUAAAAAACUUUUCUGAAACCCUGGAGGCAUGAGGAUUCGAACCCAUGCACAGGGGCUUGAAAAGUUUCAAGCAAACCAACUUGGUAACAGGUUAUGUCUUGUUAUGAUUGUAUCACUAAAUUAUUUAUAAUAUUGAAAACAAAAUUAAAUAUAUAUAUAUGUUCGGUUCGGUUCGGUUUCCGAACCUUAAAAACCGAAACCGAACCAGCCAGAUUCGGUUCGGUUCGGUUUGGCAGUUUCGGUUCGAUUUUUUUCGGCCUCGGUUCGGUUUGGUUUUCGGUUUUUUUCGGUUUUCAGUUAUUUGAACCCACCCCUACCUGCUACUGCCGGUCGUCGUCUUAGUCUUCAUGAAGGGGAACCUCUUUCAGAUGCCACUGAAUUUAGAAGUGUUGUUGGUGCUCUUCAGUACCUUCUCUUCAC
This 1668-nucleotide long non-coding RNA is filed under the name Malus domestica (apple). RNAcentral's name for it is "long non-coding RNA (MDOM_LNC005361)". The record is from RNAcentral. Lineage: Eukaryota; Viridiplantae; Streptophyta; Magnoliopsida; Rosales; Rosaceae.